AAAGGUAUUAAAGUUAAUUGCUGCUUAAAUUUUUAAGGAGAGGAAAGUCCGGGCUCCACAGAGCAAGAGGGCAGCUAACGGCUGCUAAAGGAAACUUUAAGGAAAGUGCCACAGAAAAUAGACCGCCAUUUUGGUAAGGGUGAAAAGGUGGUGUAAGAGACCACCAGUUCUUUAGGAAACUAAAGAAGCUAGGUAAACCCCCUCUGGAGCAAGACUAAAUAGGAAAGGUUAAGGGUUGCUCGUCCAGCUUUCAGGGUAAGUUGCUUGAAAUUAUAAGAGAUUAUAAUUCUAGAUAAAUAAUUAACAUAUACAAAACCCGGCUUAUUUAAUGCCUUUUUUA
This is a non-coding RNA of Fusobacterium mortiferum ATCC 9817, 340 nucleotides long. Lineage: Bacteria; Fusobacteriati; Fusobacteriota; Fusobacteriia; Fusobacteriales; Fusobacteriaceae. The record is from Rfam.